Molecule: ribosomal RNA, 513 nt
Filed under: Talicada nyseus
Lineage: Eukaryota; Metazoa; Arthropoda; Insecta; Lepidoptera; Lycaenidae
Description: partial 16S ribosomal RNA
Rfam family: Bacterial large subunit ribosomal RNA (bases 378-513)
Source: RNAcentral
GUAUUUAAUUUAAAGUNUAAUCUGCCCACUGAUUUUUAAUUAAAGGGCUGCAGUAAUUUGACUGUACAAAGGUAGCAUAAUCAUUAGUCUUUUAAUUGAAGACUUGUAUGAAAGAUUUGAUGAGAUAUAAACUGUCUCUUUAUUACAAUUAAAAUUUAAUUUUUUAGUUAAAAAGCUAAAAUAUUUUUAAAAGACGAGAAGACCCUAUAGAGUUUUAUAGUUUUUAUUAUAAAAUAUUUAUAUAAAAUUUUAAUGUUAUAUUAUAAAAAUUAUUUUGUUGGGGAGAUAAAAAAAUUAAAUAAACUUUUUUAAAUAUUUUCAUGAAUAAUUGAGUAAUUGAUCCAUAUUUAUUGAUUAAAAGAAAAAAUUACCUUAGGGAUAACAGCGUAAUAUUUUUUUUUAGUACAAAUAAGAAAAAAAGUUUGCGACCUCGAUGUUGGAUUAAGAUAAAAUUUAAAUGUAAAAGUUUAAAAUUUUGAUCUGUUCGAUCAUUAAAAUCUUACAUGAUCUGAG